Non-coding RNA from Brugia malayi, 212 nucleotides. The record is from RefSeq and is a predicted model, not a curated record. Lineage: Eukaryota; Metazoa; Nematoda; Chromadorea; Rhabditida; Onchocercidae.
AAAGGAGAAAAGAAAGAGAGAGAGAGAAAGGGAGAGAGAAAGAAAGAAAAAAAAAAAUGAUAUUUUGAAACCGAUAAAUGAUGGAUUUUUUUCAAUUGUUGGGAUUGGUUUAGAUGGAAAAAGUUACGCGUACAUAUGGUUAUUUGCUUAUUUGCUACAGUAUACCUCUCUCUGUCUCUCUCUCCCUCUCUCUCUCUCUCUUUUAACCAAAU